Molecule: ribosomal RNA, 286 nt
Filed under: uncultured bacterium
Lineage: Bacteria
Description: partial 16S ribosomal RNA
Rfam family: Bacterial small subunit ribosomal RNA
Source: RNAcentral
AGCGAACGCUGGCGGCAGGCCUAACACAUGCAAGUCGAGCGGCCGUAACAAUACGGCAGCGGCAGACGGGAGAGUAACACGUGGGAACGUGCCCUUUGGUUCGGAAUAACGCAGGGAAACUUGCGCUAAUACCGAAUAAGCCCUUACGGGGAAAGAUUUAUCGCCAUUGGAGCGGCCCGCGUCUGAUUAGCUAGUUGGUGGGGUAACGGCUCACCAAGGCGACGAUCAGUAGCUGGCUGAGAGGAUGAUCAGCCUCACUGGGACUGAGACACGGCCCAGACUCCUA